AUUUUUUUUUAAAAAAAUUGCGUGACAGAGAUGAGCUUUGUUCUUUAUCGCUGACGGUCAACCUCUAAGAAGUUCUGAGCUU
Molecule: small nucleolar RNA, 82 nt
Filed under: Brassica napus (rape)
Lineage: Eukaryota; Viridiplantae; Streptophyta; Magnoliopsida; Brassicales; Brassicaceae
Description: snoRNA snoU61
Source: RNAcentral